GCUAGACACAAGCACAAUAGAUGUUUUAGCUGACGUCACGAAAACGAUGCGCGCGCUUCAAUGGGGCAGUAUGUUGUGAUUCUGGAUGGCCAGAUAACUAGCAACAAUGACAAGAAGCUACCAUGUGGGGAAUCGUAGCUCGCCGGGGGCCUGCCGAGGCUCGUCCUCCUCGUCGUCCUCCUCCUCCUCGUCGUCCCUCUUCAUGAGCUCCAUGUCCUCCUGGCCAUCGUCCGACUCGGCUGUGCAGAUGCCAUAGCACAUCAGGCUGAUCACGCCCAGUGGCAGACCAAACAGGAAACAGCCCAGCACUGGGGAGCUGCGAAACACAGACUGAGAGGAGGGAGGGGUGAUCAGGGGAAAAGAAGAAGAGAUUGAGAGAUUGGCAGAGAUGGAGAGAUUGAUAGAGAGAGAAAGAGAGAGGAGGUUUGGCAGUGGUGGACAGAAGGUAGGGUGGAACAGUGGAAAGAGUCAAAUAUAUUUAUGCUGUUGGAUUCUGGGUUAAACUUGGAACAUUGCUAUCCUAGAGACAUGACACAUCAGAAGUAAGACUAUGGUAUCUGAGGGGUGAUAGACUGUUUUUUUCAUCAGAAGUUAAUUGUUAUCUGUAGGAGCCAGAUGGCUUUGGAAUGUGCUGUGUAACCGGGAGGCAGUCACAUGAUUGCUAUGGGUGGAGAUCUUUGGGUUAGACAUCAAGGGGUUUGAGGUCAGGUCAGAUCACCUUAAGGGAGAAGGGACAUUUUAUUACCCCAUCACUUCGUCUUCCUGUUGAACCAUAAAAGAUGUAAGGAUUGGAGAGAAGGAGGAGUGCCUAAAUUGGAGUAUAUAUACUUGUGGUGGAAACAUGUUUUGUCUAAUGCAGCUGUAUUGAUCCUCUGGGAAGAAUUAAACUUGGUUAAGCUUU
Molecule: long non-coding RNA, 901 nt
Organism: Oncorhynchus tshawytscha (Chinook salmon)
Lineage: Eukaryota; Metazoa; Chordata; Actinopteri; Salmoniformes; Salmonidae
Exons: 2
Source: RefSeq, a predicted model, not a curated record